This 323-nucleotide long non-coding RNA is filed under the name Androctonus crassicauda. The record is from RNAcentral. Lineage: Eukaryota; Metazoa; Arthropoda; Arachnida; Scorpiones; Buthidae.
GAACGAUCCUAGGUGCUUCCUACGUAGCUUAGGUGCUACAAUAGAUCACCGGGUGGGAACUAACUUCGCUAGAAAACGGGCUGUUGAUAUCACUAUACCCGAGCCUAUGUUUCCUCUCCACAUGUUAUCGGGUCUGAUACAAUCGAUCAUGCAUUGUCUUUUCGACUCGCCCUGCACCAGCUCAGUUCCAGGUUCCCCUUCUAGGAGCACGCCUAUAGCCCGAGUGAUGGCUGCUGGCGACAUUAGACAGACCCUCUUGUCAAGGAUCUGCCAAAUAGUUCUUUCCCUUAUCUCCUCCCAGCGCGGACAUUCUUCUAGAAGGC